RNAcentral lists this ribosomal RNA (462 nucleotides) under uncultured bacterium. RNAcentral describes it as "bacterial SSU rRNA". It matches the Rfam family "Bacterial small subunit ribosomal RNA", at positions 59 to 507 of the family's 1533-position model. The record is from RNAcentral.
AAGUGGUGCGACGAACCAGAGCUUGCUCUGGGGCAAAGCCGCGAACGGGUGAGUAACACGUGGGUAAUCUACCCCGAUGACCGGGACAACCCGAGGAAACUCGGGCUAAUACCGGAUGUGGUACGGAGACAUAAGUCUCUUUACUAAAGGUAGCUUCGGCUUCCGCAUUGGGAGGGGCCCGCGGCCCAUUAGCUAGUUGGUGGGGUCAAGGCCUACCAAGGCAACGAUGGGUAGCUGGUCUGAGAGGACGAUCAGCCACACUGGGACUGAGACACGGCCCAGACUCCUACGGGAGGCAGCAGUGGGGAAUCUUGCGCAAUGCGCGAAAGCGUGACGCAGCAACACCGCGUGAGGGAAGACGGCCUUAGGGUUGUAAACCUCUUUCAGAUGGGACGAAGGUGAUGCGGUGAAUAGCCGAUGUCAUUGACGGUACCGUCAGAAGAAGCUCCGGCUAACUACGUG